AUGCAGUCUCGCAAAAUGUGUAUUAACGGAAAGUGCAAAACUUAUCCUAACGGUGUACGUCACACGUUCAACUGGUAUGAUUCGUGAUCACGCGACGGUUUGCUGAGGAUACCAUUUUCCAUAUUUAAAAAAAAAAAAUAAAUUCAACUAAUAGUGGAAACUACCACUUACAAAUUUCCAGACCUUGAACGUAAUUCAUGAACUAUAUUUAAGAGCGAAAUAUUCAUACGAGGUUGUUUUGAAGUGGUAAUUAAUUUUACUCAGUGAAAGUGUACACUGCCUGAUUUGUUGGCGGAACGAAGAAUGAAUGAACGAGUUAGUAAAAUAAGUCGAACUCUGGAAGUGAUUAUCCAUGGAAAUUAUGCCGAGUUGAGGAGCUUUACUGGAUCAUACAUUUUUAAAUUAUUGUAUUGAUGUAUCAGUUCAAUAACACUUUUUCUUAAAUUGUAAGUUGAUAAAUCAGUAAAAAAUUUAACGAACGUAUUUGAAAUAUUAAAAUUUACUAUUGAAGAGCCUUGUAUUUAAGCUUGAAUUUGGAACUUAUCGCAGUUAUUUGCAAAUUGCGUCAUAUAGUAACAAAAUAACAUUACUUAUCUAGAAGAUAGACUUGUUACUCAGCUGUGUCCGAUUUGUCUUUAAAAAGUCCAUGUUAUUUGUAAAAAUAGUUACUUACUUAGUUGCUUAUUACUAAAGUUGAUGUUGUGGAUAGCGAUGGAUGUUACUAAGCGCUUAUUCGACUAAACGGUUUUAGA
This is a long non-coding RNA of Dendroctonus ponderosae (mountain pine beetle), 752 nucleotides long. RefSeq lists it as uncharacterized. NCBI's taxonomy places the organism in Eukaryota, Metazoa, Arthropoda, Insecta, Coleoptera, Curculionidae. The transcript is spliced from 2 exons. The record is from RefSeq and is a predicted model, not a curated record.